This 378-nucleotide unclassified non-coding RNA is filed under the name plant metagenome. Its description in RNAcentral is "partial contains 5.8S ribosomal RNA, internal transcribed spacer 2, and large subunit ribosomal RNA". The stretch from base 1 to 105 matches the Rfam family "5.8S ribosomal RNA", at positions 50 to 154 of the family's 154-position model. The record is from RNAcentral.
GAAAUGCGAUAAGUAAUGUGAAUUGCAGAAUUCAGUGAAUCAUCGAAUCUUUGAACGCACCUUGCGCUCCUUGGUAUUCCUUGGAGCAUGCCUGUUUGAGUAUCAUGAAAUCUUCAAAGUAAAUCUUUUGUUAACUCAAUUGGCUUCUACUUUGGUAUUGGAGGUCUUUGCAGCUUCACACCUGCUCCUCUUUGUUCAUUAGCUGGAUCUCAGUGUUAUGCUUGGUUCCACUCGGCGUGAUAAGUUAUCUAUCGCUGAGGACACUGUAAAAGGUGGCCAAGGUAAAUGCAGAUGAACCGCUUCUAAUAGUCCAUUGACUUGGACAAUACUUUUAUGAUCUGAUCUCAAAUCAGGUACGACUACCCGCUGAACUUAAGC